RNAcentral lists this long non-coding RNA (931 nucleotides) under Bos taurus (domestic cattle). RNAcentral's name for it is "long non-coding RNA NONBTAT011832". The record is from RNAcentral. Lineage: Eukaryota; Metazoa; Chordata; Mammalia; Artiodactyla; Bovidae.
GGGCAUUACUGGGCUGGCAGGAGAAGAAGAAUGAUCCUCGGGCUCCAGGGCCCACGUCUGAGCAUCUGGGGUCAGCGAGGGAACCCCAGGCAUCCUUGCCUUGAGAGGCUUCCACGUGGCAGUGUCCAGCUCUUCUGGCCCCAAGGAGCCUCCAGUGAGGACUUUGAUUCCUAAAGAACAGAAGCCUGGGGGCCUCCCUCUCCUCUCACCCUGAAACCUGGAAUCCUGGAGCUGUGCUAGGCAGAGAUUAUAUACAACGGAGUCAUUUAAGACCUGCCUCUGCUGCUAAGUUCUGGGCCUUGGGUGGAUGUGAGGAUACACAACUCGGUGGAGACCUGGUGUGGGGCCUGGCGCACAGUGAGUGGAAGCUGGCUCCUGACCCUGUGGUGAUUCCUGGGUGCUGACCCCUUUCCUGACUGAGCCCCUGGACAAGCAGGAGCCAGGUGUUAAGAGGCCGGUGCUGCUGAAUGAAUGAGUGGAUGCCCUCCCCACACAGAAGCAACUUCUCUUCAUCAACAUUUGUGACUCACAUCUUGUCAAAUCUCUCCAGCUUGAAAACCUUCUUCCUGCAGCUGCCGAUUGGAGAGCGUCCACAUUUCAUGGCCAGAGACCUGAAUUCCGGGGCCAGCCGGUUGUCCAGGAGCUGGAUGAUCACUCCUUUGAGCCAGCCGUUCCCCGUGGUCAUGCGGGGCUUGCCGUCCCCCAGGCUGGCUCUGAGGAUUAGACGCAUUUUAUCUUGUGCAGGGAACACAGGGCAUCGAGAUACCACCCAAAGACAGCCACCGCGGACUCACUCCAAGUGUUCUUCCUGGGGGGCUCCCUAGCACAUAUGUGGGCAAUUUCCCCUGUAUUGUUCUAUAAUCCUUGAUGGUUGCUCUAUAAUUGCUCUCAAAUGGUUUAAUCAUAAUAAAUAGCAUCUGCAGAGCAGUUU